This 4543-nucleotide long non-coding RNA is filed under the name Daucus carota (carrot). RNAcentral's name for it is "long non-coding RNA (DCAR_LNC004636)". The record is from RNAcentral. Lineage: Eukaryota; Viridiplantae; Streptophyta; Magnoliopsida; Apiales; Apiaceae.
CUUGGGGUGGUUCAUCCUGCGAUGCCGAACCAUGGUUCGACACCGCGGCCGCAGGCAACCACCCGGGCCAAUAGGUUUACCGGUCAUCGGUCACCUCCACAUGCUAGGAAAACUCCCUCACCGCAGCCUCUACAAGUUGUCACAAAAAUAUGGUCCCAUAAUGUCGAUCCGCCUCGGAUCUGUUCCCACAAUUAUAGUGUCGUCGCCCUCGGCUGCUGAGCUCUUUCUCAGGACUCACGACACGGUUUUCGCUAGCAGGCCUAAUGCCCAGGCCGCCGAGUACUUAUCCUAUGGCAGCAAAGGUUUGGCAUUCUCGAAAUAUGGUUCGUAUUGGCGUAGCGUGAGGAAGUUUUGCACAAUGGAGCUUCUUAGUGUCGCGAAAAUUGAUUCUAUGGCUAGGCUGAGAAGGGAGGAACUGGGCUUGCUGGUGCAGUCCCUGAAAGUGGCGGCCAGGACCGGUGAGGUUGUGGAUUUUAGCGAGAAGGUGGCGCGUCUGAUAGAAGACAUGACUUGCCGAAUGUUGUUUGGGAAGAGCAGAGAUGAUCGGUUUGACUUGAGUAAGAUCAUACAUGAGCUGGCAGAGGUUACUGGAGCCUUCAAUCUUGCGGACUAUGUCCCAUUUUUAGGGGCAUUUGAUCUCCAGGUAUCAAUUACUAGUAUAAAACUGCUCCCUCCGUCCACCAGAUUCUUUAUAUCAUCGAACGUAAUCUCGACAUGCAUUUUAGGGCUCUCAUUAAGCAUAUUUACAUAAUUUAUAUCCAAUUAUACUUAACGGAAGUCUUAAAAUGCGUGUGAAGCCCUCCGUCCGCCAGCGUAAAGAACCUAGCGGGUCGGAGGGAAUAUACUUGAGAUCUCAUUGUUACGGUGGGAGCUAUACUUGAGAUCUCAUUGUUACGGUGGGCUCUCGGGUUUAAAAUAGGAGAGAAACGGAGAGAAGUGAAAAGAAAAUUUAAUGAAUUAUUAAUCGAGAAAAGAAAAGAUAACUUCCACGGGUUUCUCUUUAAAAAUGGAUUGAUUUGGAGAAGAACUCUCACACUUGCUAAUAAAAUAUGGGCAUCACGUAAUUAGGCAAACAGAGUAUAUGAUUUGGGUCCGUCACGAACAAGAUAAAAUAUUAAAAUUGCAGGCAGAACCUGUUUCCUCUGCAGGUAACUCAAGGACCCUGAUCUUUAAUUUAAUUGUUUUCGUCAGGGAUUAACUCGACGCCUCAGAGUUGCUGCUAAGGCAUUUGAUAAAAUCUUAGAGACUAUCAUUGAUGAUCAUGAACAAAAAGCUGGAAAUGACGAUACAGAGCUUGAUAAGGAUUUUGUUGAUGUCAUGCUAGCUCUGAAGAACAAUCCUACAAGUACUCACCAGCAAUUAGCGCAGAUCAUCGAUAGAUCAAUUACCAAAGCCAUUAUCUUGGAUAUGAUUUUCGGAGCCAUUGAUACCUCCCACACCGCGAUAGAAUGGAUCAUGUCAGAACUCCUCCGACAUCCAAAAGUGAUGAAACGACUUCAAGAAGAAAUUAGUGUCAUAGUAGAUGGCGAACUUGUGGAAGAAUCACAUCUGGAUAAACUUGAGUACCUAGACAUGGUGGUCAAGGAAGCCUUGAGACUUCAUCCGGUGGGACCCCUGUUAGUUCCUCAUGAGUCGAUGGAGGACAUUGUGAUCGAUGGAUAUUACAUAGAGAAGAAUUCGCGUGUGAUCAUUAAUGGUUGGGGCAUUGGACGAGAUCCAAGGAUUUGGUCUGAAAAUGUGGAAGAAUUCAUUCCUGAGAGAUUUGCGGGUACUGACAUAGAUCUCCGGGGGAAAAGUUUUCAGCUUAUACCAUUUGGUUCAGGCCGGAGAGGCUGUCCAGGUAUACACUUGGGACUAAUAAACAUCAAAUUGGUGGUUGCUCAGUUAGUACACAGCUUCGAUUGGGAGCUACCUUUGGGGAUUUCACCGGACGAGUUAAAUAUGGAUGAAACAUUCGGUUUGUCAUUGCCAAGGGCAGAGCAUCUCCUGGCCAUACCCAAAUUUAGGAAAAGUUGAAUUCCACAUUCAUGGUGGUAUGUGUGAUUGUCCUGUGUAACUUUAAGCAGAAUGAGUAGCUACCCUCUUGUGAGGAGUUGUUUUGAUAAAUUGUUAUGUGCGGACUGCAGUGUUUUAUCAACUCCCUCCCUUCUUAAUUAUCAAUCGCAUCUGUUUUUAAUUUUAAAAUUUAAAAUAUCAAACUGAUCGAUAUUUGAUUAAAUAUUAAAAUUAUUUAUUUAUUAUAUUAAUAAAUUAAAAAAUAUAUAAAUAGAUUUUUUUUUUUUUUGAGCCAGAGUCGAACCCAGGACCUGGGCCAACAGAGGAUAAGCCCUUAACCACUUGGGCUAUCCAAUCGUGCUCAAAUAUAUAAAUAGAUUAGUUACAUGUUUUAGUGAAAAAAUUUGUUUAACUCUUCGAAUCAUAUAAUACACAUAAAUUUCAUCAAUUUAAAUAAUCAAAAAUCACUUAAAUAUUAUAAAUCUGUAUUUAGGGAGGGCCAGUAAAUAUCUAUAUAUAUUAAUUGGUUCUUUACACUUUGACAUUUCAAUUUCUGGUUCGCUUACAUUCCACUUAUGACAACAUUUUUGUAUUUUUCCACUACUGCAUAUUUUUCUUCCAAAGAAUUAUUGCAGUUCCUAGUUAAAACAAAAUUUAUGACAGGGCAAGAUCAAUCUUAUCCGUGUCAUGUUGACAACGUUAACUGUGGAUUUGUUUUUCAUAUUUUCAACUUUUCGUUCUUCUAGGUGUUAUGUGUCUACAUUUAAAUACCAGAUGAUUUUCAGCUCGAGUGUUUGAUGGGAGAUAUUUUUCUAUCAAUUUAAUUCCUGUAUUGUUGGCUGAUUUGAAUGAUAAAUGGAAUACUUUUUCCGUCAAAAAAAAAUGAAAGAUGAUAAUAGAACGAUCAUAGAUUACAUUUUCAAAGAUACUCCCUCCGUCCCCCUGAGUAGUAUACAUUGGGGGACGGGGAUGCGGCACGGACUUUAAUGCUCCUGUAAAGUGUAGUUGUGUAAUUUAUUUUUAAAAUUUUCUUUUUCUGAAUUAAAGUUUGGAUGCUAUAUUUUUAUUCAGAAAAAGAAAAUCUCAAAAAUAAGUUAUGGAACUAUGUUUUAUAAGAGCAUUGAAAUGCGUGUCGAGCAGUUGAAAAGAAACGUAUACAAUUAAAUGGGACAGAGGGAGUAGACAAACCGUAUAAAGUUGACUUGUUCGGAUAUGAUUAAUGUAAAUUGUUUAAUUAUAAUUUAGUAAAAUGAUUUAACAAUCAUUCAUGCAUGGGAAAUUUAUUUAAAAUAAUCCAAUCAAUAAAAUAGAUUUAAAAAAAUGGAGAUAAGUUAGAUAUAAAUAUAUGUCAUUUUGAUUUUGGAUCUGCAUUCUAAUUUCUUGCAUGAUUUAUGGACAUUAGUUUAUUUUAAUUUCCUAACAAAAAAUAUAAAUGUAAAGUCUGAAUAAUUUUUUUAGAUAUUCAUUUUAUUUUCAUUUUUUUCAUUCAAAAUUCAUUUUUUUUUUGAAAUAAAUCAUAUUAAUAAAAUUCAUUUUUUAUUAAAUCAUAUUAUAUAUAUAGAAAAUUACAUAACAUAUCAUCCUUUCCUUUAUUAAUAUAAUUGAUGAGUAGUUUAUCAGAGUAAUCGAUGAUAAAAUUUCUAUUGAUAAGAAAGUGGUCAAGAUUUAAAGUUGGGGAGCAACUGUGUUGAUGUCAUGCUAGCUCUAUGAAGAAUCAACAUAUAUCAUUUUUUGUAAAAAAUAAAUUAUUAAAUUAUAUUAAUUAAAAAUAUUAAUAAAAUUAUUAUUGUCAUAUAUUUUUGCAUCAUUGAUUGAGUUUUGUAUCAAACAUUAAUAUUUCAUUACUUAAAUAGAGACGGAAAAAAUAAAAAAUAAAUGUAUCUCAUACUUCCAUUUCAUACCCACCUCCCCACUUGGGUAUCAAAAACAACUCAUACCAUGGAGGUUUAAGGCUGGGUUUCAGAUUUUGUUUUUCUUUAGACAAACCUCAUACAUUCCAUAAAUCCAUGAACCAAACGACUCCUAAAUAGAAUGAAUAUGUAUUAGAUUUUUAAUUAAAAUAAUUAGAAUGAAAUAAUGGAAGUAACGAAAAUUUUAAACUAUUUUACUGAUCACUAGCAAUUUAUACCAGUAAAUUUAAGAUUAGCAGAGAGAGAGGCUAUAGCUCAAUAUAUAUAUACGCAUAUUGUGAUAAUGCAUUUGCAGGUGCAGCACCUUUCUUUGACAAGAAACAAGUAGCAACACUUUCACAGCUCUUCAACAUGUCUCCCACAGAUUUUGCAUUGCUUAUAGUAAGCGCCGGAUCCUUGUGGUGGUUCAUCCUGCAGUGCCGAACCAUGGUUCGCCAACACGGCCGCAGACAACCACCCGGGCCAAUAGGUCUACCGGUCAUCGGUCACCUCCACAUGCUAGGAAAACUCCCUCACCGCAGCCUCUACAAGUUGUCACAAAAAUACGGUCCCAUAAUGUCGAUCCGCCUCGGAUCUGUUCCCACAAUUAUAGUGUCGUCGCCUUCGGCUGCCGAGCUCUUUCUCAGGACUCACGACAC